UACGUAGGGUGCGAGCGUUGUCCGGAAUUACUGGGCGUAAAGAGCUCGUAGGUGGUUUGUCGCGUUGUUCGUGAAAACUCACAGCUCAACUGUGGGCGUGCGGGCGAUACGGGCAGACUGGAGUACUGCAGGGGAGACUGGAAUUCCUGGUGUAGCGGUGGAAUGCGCAGAUAUCAGGAGGAACACCGAUUGCGAAGGCAGCUCGCUGGGACGUAACUGACGCUGAGACGCGAAAGCGUGGGGAGCAAACAGG
RNAcentral lists this ribosomal RNA (253 nucleotides) under uncultured bacterium. RNAcentral describes it as "partial 16S ribosomal RNA". It matches the Rfam family "Bacterial small subunit ribosomal RNA", at positions 524 to 776 of the family's 1533-position model. The record is from RNAcentral.